Molecule: long non-coding RNA, 483 nt
Organism: Oncorhynchus gorbuscha (pink salmon)
Lineage: Eukaryota; Metazoa; Chordata; Actinopteri; Salmoniformes; Salmonidae
Exons: 3
Source: RefSeq, a predicted model, not a curated record
ACAGUGUCGCAAACGCCUAUGAUUCCCUCCUGGAUUGAAUGGAACAUGGGGACGAGCACCAUGGAAGAAAAGGCUGCUAUUGAGGGGCGUCAUGCGCACAGGAGCGAGUUAUGGAUUUAAGCAGACUUCUACUCCUGCUGUUGCUCGUGGUUUCUUCUAAGGUACCCAACGUCCAGACGAGAUCAAUGGACUUUGUGUGAGACACACGACUGGAGAAACAUGAACAACAUGAAGGACCUGGAGGUUGCCAUGGUGAGAGACACACGACUGGAGAAACAUGAACAACAUGAAGGACCUGGAGGUUGCCAUGGUGAGAGACACACGACUGGAGAAACAUGAACAACAUGAAGGACCUGGAGGUUGCCAUGGUGAGAGACACACGACUGGAGAAACAUGAACAACAUGAAGGACCUGGAGGUUGCCAUGGUGAGAGACACACGACUGGAGAAACAUGAACAACAUGAAGGACCUGGAGGUUGCCAU